Molecule: ribosomal RNA, 486 nt
Filed under: uncultured bacterium
Lineage: Bacteria
Description: partial 16S ribosomal RNA
Rfam family: Bacterial small subunit ribosomal RNA
Source: RNAcentral
AUUGAACGCUGGCGGCAUGCCUUACACAUGCAAGUCGAACGGCAGCACGGGUGCUUGCACCUGGUGGCGAGUGGCGAACGGGUGAGUAAUACAUCGGAACAUGUCCUGUAGUGGGGGAUAGCCCGGCGAAAGCCGGAUUAAUACCGCAUACGAUCUACGGAUGAAAGCGGGGGACCUUCGGGCCUCGCGCUAUAGGGUUGGCCGAUGGCUGAUUAGCUAGUUGGUGGGGUAAAGGCCUACCAAGGCGACGAUCAGUAGCUGGUCUGAGAGGACGACCAGCCACACUGGGACUGAGACACGGCCCAGACUCCUACGGGAGGCAGCAGUGGGGAAUUUUGGACAAUGGGCGAAAGCCUGCUCCAGCAAUGCCGCGUGUGUGAAGAAGGCCUUCGGGUUGUAAAGCACUUUUUUCCGGAAAGAAAUCCUUGGCCCUAAUACGGUCGGGGGAUGACGGUACCGGAAUAAUAAGCACCGGCUAACUACGUG